UUUUUUUCAGCUCCGCUGGAUUACCACGCAAACGGCAAGACCAGCUGAAGAACAUGCCUCCCAAUGACAUCACAAUCGACUCACCCACUGAGGAUGUCACUUCCAACUCUCUCUGAUGAUGUCAAUUCUAUUCCAGAACCCACCUACAAAAGAUAUAAGUUUCUGUUCUAGCCACUCUGAUCCAUCCUCUUCCUAUUUUAGUCAUAUUUAUAACUCAGUCUCACCCUGUUAACUCAGUUCCAUUGGGAACUCAGUUCUGUAUGGACAUGCUUGAUUUCUGAUUUAAAUUUUUUCAGUAUAAGGGGUGGCCAUUCCCAAACCUU
Molecule: long non-coding RNA, 323 nt
Organism: Polypterus senegalus (gray bichir)
Lineage: Eukaryota; Metazoa; Chordata; Cladistia; Polypteriformes; Polypteridae
Exons: 2
Source: RefSeq, a predicted model, not a curated record